AACGCACGAGACCUGCGGACCUGCGGAGGGAUCAUUAAUGAGAAGCUGCCCCUCGUGGGUAGACCUCCCACCCUCUGUGAACUUACCUUUGUUGCUUUGGCAGGCCCGUCCUCUGGACCGCCGGCUUCGGCUGGCCCGUGCCUGCCAGAGGAUUCCAAACCCUGUCUGUCAGUGUUGUCUGAGUCUGUAUGAAAUCGUUAAAACUUUUAACAACGGAUCUCUAGAUCGGAAGAGCACACG
RNAcentral lists this unclassified non-coding RNA (240 nucleotides) under soil metagenome. RNAcentral describes it as "partial contains 5.8S ribosomal RNA, internal transcribed spacer 2, and large subunit ribosomal RNA". The record is from RNAcentral.